GAGACGUUGCAUCCUGUAAGAGUGGAGUUUGACGGAGCGGCUGAACGACAGAUCGGUUCUAACAGUCAGUGACUUUCAGCUUUAUUUAAACCUUAAAUUUAAUCUUGUGUCGUCAGAUUUAAACUCAGGUUCAGUUAUUGAGUGAAAACACCAACAGACUCAGACAUUUAGGACAAACUAAGAGUCAGAUGAGCAGAAACAGAGAACACGGACAUGUCUGCUGUAACUGCGUCACUCUGCUCCACUUUGCUGAUGUUCGAUGGAGUCUUCAUGUUUGUCUCUGCAGAUUUUCCACCCUGAUGACCACAGAGGCCUUUGAGGCUUCCAGACGUCCUUCACAACAACAGUAAGUUUUUCUUUCUGUUUCUAAAACUCACUUUUAGUCUUUAAGCUAAAAAAAUCUGUUUGAAGGUUUCACUUUACAAUUCACCUCCAUAGAAAAAAAGGAAAUUUAGCAGAAAACCUCAAAUUCUAAAACUGGUGAUUCUUUGUUCUUUGAAUUGGACAGCACUGGAUGAACUGGUGAUUUACACAGGCUACUGGUUUUGUAAACUGGUGCAGGCUGCUGCUGGUUCUCAGGUUAGUCAGAGUUAUGUCGCGGUGUUGUUUGAUAAGCUGCUCGGCAGACACAGACCUCCGACCUCGGAGCUGAAGCUGAAUCAGGAAGAGGCGGAGCAGGAUGUGAGCUUGAAACUUGCUGUGGGAAACAAACUCGGUGCAGAGACAAAACAAACUUCUGCUUCAAAGACACAAACUGUUCAUGCAUGACGACUGACACAUGAAACAGGUUCAGAUCUUUCCUGCCAGGAUGCUUCAAGAACUGAAGCAAUAAAACUUUCUUUCGACUUCACCUCUUCUGUUGUGACGCACUUGUUUCUGCUCGACCCCGCAGUGCAGCGCACCAAACGUCACAAUGACACAACUUCCUGUAAACCAACGUUACUGAUCCAACUGCUUUUUAAGCCUAAAUUUUAAUCUCAUGACAGACUGAGACAUUUAGAAAAAGCUAAGAGUCAGAUCAAGAACCCGGAAAUGUUUGCUGUAAUUACGUCACUCUGCUCCACUUUGAUGUUUGCCGUGUUCGUCUCUGCAGACCAGGAAAUCAUCACAGCUGAGUCUGGACAGAACGUCACUCUGACAUGUCGAGCUUCAAACAACAUUAUAGCAGUAAACUGGAGCAGAGCUGACCUGGGAAC
This is a long non-coding RNA of Oreochromis aureus, 1196 nucleotides long. The record is from Ensembl. NCBI's taxonomy places the organism in Eukaryota, Metazoa, Chordata, Actinopteri, Cichliformes, Cichlidae.